GCCAGUGUGGCACAGUGGUUUGAGUGUUUGUUUCAAUCUUGGACUAGGACUCUGGAGACCAGGGUUCGAUUCCCAGCUUGGCCA
Non-coding RNA from Phrynosoma platyrhinos (Desert horned lizard), 84 nucleotides. The record is from the annotation of a GenBank genome assembly. NCBI's taxonomy places the organism in Eukaryota, Metazoa, Chordata, Lepidosauria, Squamata, Phrynosomatidae.